Molecule: ribosomal RNA, 495 nt
Filed under: uncultured bacterium
Lineage: Bacteria
Description: partial 16S ribosomal RNA
Rfam family: Bacterial small subunit ribosomal RNA
Source: RNAcentral
GACGAACGCUGGCGGCGUGCUUAACACAUGCAAGUCGAACGGUGAAGCGCCUUCCUUUUUGGUGGGUGUGGAUGAGUGGCGAACGGGUGAGUAACACGUGAGUAACCUGCCCCCUUCUUCUGGAUAACCGCAUGAAAGUGUGGCUAAUACGGGAUAUUCUGGGUCUGUCGCAUGAUGGGUCUGGGAAAGAUAUUGUUUCGGUGGGGGAUGGGCUCGCGGCCUAUCAGCUUGUUGGUGGGGUGAUGGCCUACCAAGGCGGUGACGGGUAGCCGGCCUGAGAGGGUGGACGGUCACACUGGGACUGAGACACGGCCCAGACUCCUACGGGACGCAGCAGUGGGGAAUAGUGCACAAUGGGCGCAAGCCUGAUGCAGCGACGCCGCGUGAGGGAGGGAGGCCUUCGGGUUGUGAACCUCUUUCGCCAGUGAAGCAGGCCUGCCUCGUUUGUGGGUGGGUUGACGGUAGCUGGAUAAGAAGCGCCGGCUAACUACGUGC